Molecule: long non-coding RNA, 263 nt
Filed under: Elaeis guineensis (African oil palm)
Lineage: Eukaryota; Viridiplantae; Streptophyta; Magnoliopsida; Arecales; Arecaceae
Description: long non-coding RNA (EGUI_LNC059323)
Source: RNAcentral
GGGCCGCUCGGGGCCAGGAUGAGUUUAUUAUGAAGAGUAAUGGGGUGGAGUCGUAGCGGUCACCAUGGCUCACCACGUGGAGUCUGUUGCGGAAAGUGGAGCGACGUGGGAUCCAUCACAGGAAGUGGAGCAGAGUCGUGGCCGUUACUGAAGCCUGCCAGGGAGUGAUGGAGCCACACGGAAUCCAUCGCAGGAGGUGGAGCAGAGUCGUGGCCGUUACUGAAGCCUGCCAAGGAGUGUUGGAGCCGCAAGAAAUCCAUCGC